This 855-nucleotide ribosomal RNA is filed under the name Sarcocystis levinei. Its description in RNAcentral is "SSU rRNA". It matches the Rfam family "Eukaryotic small subunit ribosomal RNA", at positions 141 to 959 of the family's 1831-position model. The record is from RNAcentral. Lineage: Eukaryota; Apicomplexa; Conoidasida; Eucoccidiorida; Sarcocystidae.
GGAUAACCGUGGUAAUUCUAUGGCUAAUACAUGCGCAAAUAUCCUUUUUCGCAAGAAAGAGGAUAGUGUUUAUUAGAUACAGAACCAAUACACCAUCUGUUUAUCAGGUGGUGUAAAAAAGGUGAUUCAUAGUAACCGAACGGAUCGCAUUAUGGUCAUUUUAUAUGGCUGGCGAUAGAUCAUUCAAGUUUCUGACCUAUCAGCUUUCGACGGUAGUGUAUUGGACUACCGUGGCAGUGACGGGUAACGGGGAAUUAGGGUUCGAUUCCGGAGAGGGAGCCUGAGAAACGGCUACCACAUCUAAGGAAGGCAGCAGGCGCGCAAAUUACCCAAUCCUGACUCAGGGAGGUAGUGACAAGAAAUAACAACACUGGAAAUUUUAUUUCUAGUGAUUGGAAUGAUGGGAAUUUAAACCCCUUUCAGAGUAACAAUUGGAGGGCAAGUCUGGUGCCAGCAGCCGCGGUAAUUCCAGCUCCAAUAGCGUAUAUUAAAGUUGUUGCAGUUAAAAAGCUCGUAGUUGGAUGUCUGCUGGAAGCAAUCAGUCCGCCCUAUUUGUAGGGUGUGCACUUGAUGAAUUCUGGCAUCUAUGUCCCAAUAAUGUGGUGGUGUAUACCCUGUGUAUUACCCAUCUAUAUUGGGAUAAUACCGUUACUUUGAGAAAAUUAGAGUGUUUGAAGCAGGCUAAUUGCCUUGAAUACUGCAGCAUGGAAUAACAAUAUAGGAUUUCGGUUCUAUUUUGUUGGUUUCUAGGACUGAAAUAAUGAUUAAUAGGGACAGUUGGGGGCAUUCGUAUUUAACUGUCAGAGGUGAAAUUCUUAGAUUUGUUAAAGACGAACUACUGCGAAAGCAUUUGCC